Molecule: ribosomal RNA, 425 nt
Filed under: uncultured bacterium
Lineage: Bacteria
Description: bacterial SSU rRNA
Rfam family: Bacterial small subunit ribosomal RNA
Source: RNAcentral
GUGGGGAAUCUUAGACAAUGGGGGAAACCCUGAUCUAGCCAUGCCGCGUGAUCGAUGAAGGCCUUAGGGUUGUAAAGAUCUUUCAGUGGGGAAGAUAAUGACGGUACCCACAGAAGAAGCCCCGGCUAACUCCGUGCCAGCAGCCGCGGUAAUACGGAGGGGGCUAGCGUUAUUCGGAAUUACUGGGCGUAAAGCGCACGUAGGCGGAUCAGAAAGUCAGAGGUGAAAUCCCAGGGCUCAACCUUGGAACUGCCUUUGAAACUCCUGGUCUUGAGGUCGAGAGAGGUGAGUGGAAUUCCGAGUGUAGAGGUGAAAUUCGUAGAUAUUCGGAGGAACACCAGUGGCGAAGGCGGCUCACUGGCUCGAUACUGACGCUGAGGUGCGAAAGCGUGGGGAGCAAACAGGAUUAGAUACCCUUGUAGUCC